UACCAAUGACGCCAUUCUUGCUCAAAACAAGCUACUCUCUCAACAAGUGGAGUUGCUUACUCAACAAAUGGCCAAGCUUCCACAGCAAAUGAAGGAAAUUCAAGGGUCUCUAGUUCGACAUCAAGUAGCAUGUUGCGAAUUAUGUCAAGGAGAUCACCCUACUGGUUUUUGUCCUCCACUAGAAGAAGUAAGCUAUGUGAACAAUCAAAAUCAAGGCUAUCAAAGGAACAAUCAAGGUUAUCAACCAUCAAGGUUCAACAAUCAAAAUUUUCAGCAGCAAAG
This 282-nucleotide long non-coding RNA is filed under the name Lathyrus oleraceus (garden pea). RNAcentral describes it as "Pisum sativum (pea) long non-coding RNA (PSAT_LNC002482)". Lineage: Eukaryota; Viridiplantae; Streptophyta; Magnoliopsida; Fabales; Fabaceae. The record is from RNAcentral.